RNAcentral lists this ribosomal RNA (490 nucleotides) under uncultured bacterium. Its description in RNAcentral is "partial 16S ribosomal RNA". It matches the Rfam family "Bacterial small subunit ribosomal RNA", at positions 30 to 507 of the family's 1533-position model. The record is from RNAcentral.
AUUGAACGCUGGCGGCAGGCCUAACACAUGCAAGUCGAACGGUAACAGGAAGCAGCUUGCUGCUUUGCUGACGAGUGGCGGACGGGUGAGUAAUGUCUGGGAAACUGCCCGAUGGAGGGGGAUAACUACUGGAAACGGUAGCUAAUACCGCAUAACGUCGCAAGACCAAAGAGGGGGACCUUAGGGCCUCUUGCCAUCGGAUGUGCCCAGAUGGGAUUAGCUAGUAGGUGGGGUAACGGCUCACCUAGGCGACGAUCCCUAGCUGGUCUGAGAGGAUGACCAGCCACACUGGAACUGAGACACGGUCCAGACUCCUACGGGAGGCAGCAGUGGGGAAUAUUGCACAAUGGGCGCAAGCCUGAUGCAGCCAUGCCGCGUGUAUGAAGAAGGCCUUCGGGUUGUAAAGUACUUUCAGCGGGGAGGAAGGGAGUAAAGUUAAUACCUUUGCUCAUUGACGUUACCCGCAGAAGAAGCACCGGCUAGCUCCGUG